GGGCGGUUGGCGCAGCGGUAGCGCGCUUCCCUGACACGGAAGAGGUCACAAGUUCGAUCCUUGUAUCGCCCA
RNAcentral lists this transfer RNA (72 nucleotides) under Aeriscardovia sp. RNAcentral describes it as "tRNA-Val". It matches the Rfam family "tRNA". From Rfam's summary of the family: Transfer RNA (tRNA) molecules are approximately 80 nucleotides in length. Their secondary structure includes four short double-helical elements and three loops (D, anti-codon, and T loops). Further hydrogen bonds mediate the characteristic L-shaped molecular structure. tRNAs have two regions of fundamental functional importance: the anti-codon, which is responsible for specific mRNA codon recognition, and the 3' end, to which the tRNAs corresponding amino acid is attached (by aminoacyl-tRNA synthetases). tRNAs cope with the degeneracy of the genetic code in two manners: having more than one tRNA (with a specific anti-codon) for a particular amino acid; and 'wobble' base-pairing, i.e. permitting non-standard base-pairing at the 3rd anti-codon position. Lineage: Bacteria; Bacillati; Actinomycetota; Actinomycetes; Bifidobacteriales; Bifidobacteriaceae. The record is from RNAcentral.